UACUUGCUUUUACAAGGCGAAACCGCGAAUGGCUCAUUAAAUCAGUUAUGGUUCACUAGAUCGUACAGUUUACAUGGAUAACUGUGGUAAUUCUAGAGCUAAUACAUGCACUCAGCUCGCUUCUUCGGGAGCGAGCGCAGUUAUUAGAAUAAAACCAAUCCGGCCUUCGGGUCGGUAAAAUUGGUGACUCUGAAUAACCGAAGCGGAGCGCAUGGUCUCGUACCGGCGCCAGAUCUUUCAAGUGUCUGACUUAUCAGCUCGUAGUUAGGUUACGUUCCUAACUAGGCUAUUACGGGUAACGGGGUGUCAGGGCCCGACACCGGAGAGGGAGCCUGAGAAACGGCUACCACAUCCAAGGAAGGCAGCAGGCGCGCAAAUUACCCACUCCCGGCACGGGGAGGUAGUGACGAAAAAUAACGAUGCGAGAGCUUUUAGCUCCUCGUAAUCGGAAUGGGUACACUUUAAAUCCUUUAACGAGGAUCUAUUGGAGGGCAAGUCUGGUGCCAGCAGCCGCGGUAAUUCCAGCUCCAAUAGCGUAUAUUAAAGUUGCUGCGGUUAAAAAGCUCGUAGUUGGAUCUGGGUAGUCGAUGAGCGGUGCGCUUUACGGCGUAACUGUUCGUUCGGCACCACAAGCCGGUUAUGUCUUGCAUGCUCUUCACUGAGUGUGCUUGGCGACCGGAACGUUUACUUUGAAAAAAUUAGAGUGCUCAAAGCAGGCGUAUGGCCUUGCAUAAUGGUGCAUGGAAUAAUAGAAUAGGACCUCGGUUCUAUUUUGUUGGUUUUCGGAGCUCGAGGUAAUGAUUAAUAGGAACAGACGGGGGCAUUCGUAUUGCGGCGUUAGAGGUGAAAUUCUUGGAUCG
Molecule: ribosomal RNA, 860 nt
Filed under: Hebesuncus ryani
Lineage: Eukaryota; Metazoa; Tardigrada; Eutardigrada; Parachela; Ramazzottiidae
Description: SSU rRNA
Rfam family: Eukaryotic small subunit ribosomal RNA
Source: RNAcentral